GAGGCAGCAGUAGGGAAUCUUCGGCAAUGGACGAAAGUCUGACCGAGCAACGCCGCGUGAGUGAAGAAGGUUUUCGGAUCGUAAAACUCUGUUGUUAGAGAAGAACAAGGAUGAGAGUGAAAUGUUCAUCCCUUGACGGUAUCUAACCAGAAAGCCACGGCUAACUACGUGCCAGCAGCCGCGGUAAU
RNAcentral lists this ribosomal RNA (188 nucleotides) under uncultured bacterium. RNAcentral describes it as "partial 16S ribosomal RNA". It matches the Rfam family "Bacterial small subunit ribosomal RNA", at positions 345 to 524 of the family's 1533-position model. The record is from RNAcentral.